This 445-nucleotide ribosomal RNA is filed under the name uncultured organism. Its description in RNAcentral is "partial 16S ribosomal RNA". It matches the Rfam family "Bacterial small subunit ribosomal RNA", at positions 335 to 797 of the family's 1533-position model. The record is from RNAcentral.
ACUCCUACGGGAGGCAGCAGUGGGGAAUAUUGGACAAUGGGCGCAAGCCUGAUCCAGCCAUGCCGCGUGAGUGAUGAAGGCCCUAGGGUUGUAAAGCUCUUUCACCGGUGAAGAUAAUGACGGUAACCGGAGAAGAAGCCCCGGCUAACUUCGUGCCAGCAGCCGCGGUAAUACGAAGGGGGCUAGCGUUGUUCGGAUUUACUGGGCGUAAAGCGCACGUAGGCGGACUAUUAAGUCAGGGGUGAAAUCCCGGGGCUCAACCCCGGAACUGCCUUUGAUACUGGUAGUCUUGAGUUCGAGAGAGGUGAGUGGAAUUCCGAGUGUAGAGGUGAAAUUCGUAGAUAUUCGGAGGAACACCAGUGGCGAAGGCGGCUCACUGGCUCGAUACUGACGCUGAGGUGCGAAAGCGUGGGGAGCAAACAGGAUUAGAUACCCGUGUAGUCCC